AUUGAACGCUGGCGGCAGGCCUAACACAUGCAAGUCGAGCGGAUGAAGGGAGCUUGCUCCCGGAUUCAGCGGCGGACGGGUGUGUAAUGCAUAGGAAUCUGCCUGGUAGUGGGGGAUAACGUCCGGAAACGGGCGCUAAUACCGCAUACGUCCUGAGGGUGAAAGUGGGGGAUCUUCGGACCUCACGCUAUCUGAUGAGCCUAGGUCGGAUUAGCUAGUUGGUGGGGUAAAGGCCUACCAAGGCGACGAUCCGUAACUGGUCUGAGAGGAUGAUCAGUCACACGGGAACUGAGACACGGUCCAGACUCCUACGGGAGGCAGCAGUGGGGAAUAUUGGGCAAUGGGCGAAAGCCUGAUCCAGCCAUGCCGCGUGUGUGAAGAAGGUCUUCGGAUUGUAAAGCACUUUAAGUUGGGAGGAAGGGCAGUAAGUUAAUACCUUGCUGUUUUGACGUUACCAACAGAAUAAGCACCGGCUAACUACGUG
This 484-nucleotide ribosomal RNA is filed under the name uncultured bacterium. RNAcentral's name for it is "partial 16S ribosomal RNA". It matches the Rfam family "Bacterial small subunit ribosomal RNA", at positions 30 to 507 of the family's 1533-position model. The record is from RNAcentral.